Molecule: long non-coding RNA, 807 nt
Organism: Scylla paramamosain (green mud crab)
Lineage: Eukaryota; Metazoa; Arthropoda; Malacostraca; Decapoda; Portunidae
Exons: 9
Source: RefSeq, a predicted model, not a curated record
GGUUGUGUUGUGUGGUGCAAACGCUCGUUGGAUUUUGUGCUUUGGAAGUCCUUUUUAUGGGUAUCGUGAAACAAAGUAUUAAGACCCUGCUUGACUCCAGUCCUCAGCAGCUCAGUAGGAUUGAUGAGUGGCAGUGUCUCAUAAAUCUGAAAUGAGUUUGGGUUCCUUGGUGCCACACGUCACCCAUCAGUCAAGCCUAUAGAUAUAGCCGCCAACCUUGUACUCUGACGAGAAAAGUGUCUACCAGGCCAAGGGAAAGCAUCAGCUAUCGAGUAAACUAGAACAACUCCCGGGAACAAAGGACGAAACAUGGACAUGAACUUGGACGUGAAUGCGAAGUGAUGCUGGGAGGAAGCGAGGCCCAGGACAUGGAGGAAUGAACCACAAACGCAAAGUAACACGAGGGUCGUGGAGCAUCUUGAACACGAAAGGUAAUUUCCAUGUUCCAUAGAGGAGAUCUCAGCUCCCGGGAAAGCUGUGCUAGUGGUCCUGCUCCAAACAAAGUGGGGUGUUCCAGGGACCAGUUCCCGGCACUCACGUAUUGCUUCCACACCUGCCUCCCUGCGUCACCUGAAGAGCUUCGGGUGGCCAUGUCCCUUGAAGCAAGAAUAAGUUUGUGGUUCCUGCUUCCAUACAUCACCCAUUAGCUCAACCUUUAGAUAUACUCGUAGACACCAAUCUUCUACAGAGACGAGGUCAACCACUCAUGAGUGUCGGCGCCCGCUGUUUCUUGGCGACAUCUCUUCGUGCAGUGGUUCCCGAACACCUAGUGAAACACCUGAUUGCCUGCGCCACCUCAGACUGCUA